GUUGUUUAUCUACAGGAAAAUUUGGAUAGAGAUCUACAUGCAUGCUUCCUCUUCUUUACUUGCGCAAGAUACACCUUGGCAUUACAUACUCUGACAUCAAAUAGUAGCAAACGGAUAAUAUUCCUUGAAAGAGAGUGAAUGUGGACUAUGAAACAGACCAAAUGAACGGUAGAAUAAAUAAAAUUUGUUUACCACAGAGAGGUAGUGUUUCCAUUAAGUAAACACUGGCUUCUAUUAUAUAAAGCAUGUCAAAACACCUUAAAAUAAAUAACUUGAAACUUACAAAAAGUUGUUGGCCAAAGGAUAUAAAAGCUCGCUCACCUUGUCAUUGCAGUUCCCAUAGAUGUUAGUGUGACUUUUUCUUGCUCGAUGGAUGCGUCUUCAAGCUAAAUUCUUGGCUGCAGGUAAAUAUGAAAUACCCAGAAACAAAGGAUUCCUACAGACAGAAGCUAGAAUUUUUGUUAUUUUCUUUCCCAUAGGAAGAAGAUGAUUUUUUUUUUUGUGUGUGCUAGAAAGCCAACUCCUACGUGUUUCUUUAAGCAUCGAAAUCAAUGUAAUCUCAUGCCUCCUACUGGAAGAUGAAGCCUUUUUUUUUAACUAGAAAGGGGACUCAAAAGUGUAGUGUUUCUUCAAGCAUCAAAACCAGUGUAAAUCUGAUUCCUACCUAAAAGAGGGUCAGUAUGCUGAAACAACGAAACAUUCUAAUCUGAGUAGCCGCAGGGACUCGGGUUAGUUUCAGAGACAGUAUCAGAAACCCUAAUCGGAGAGUUAGGGAUCGAUGGAAGAUCCUGGUUCGCCCCCAAAUCGGGGGGACAAUAUUGCUCGCGAAACGUGAUGGAUUUACUUGAGAGAAAGAGAAGGAAUGAAAGCGUACCAUUGAGAUCGAUAGCCGAGAGCGACAGAGAGUAUCGAGAGAUCACGUUGAAUAGAAUGCGAAUGGAGAUCGGAAUUCUUUCAAAUUCGUGAGGUCCGAAGCCCCUUUU
This 983-nucleotide long non-coding RNA is filed under the name Musa acuminata (dwarf banana). RNAcentral's name for it is "long non-coding RNA (MACU_LNC001686)". The record is from RNAcentral. Lineage: Eukaryota; Viridiplantae; Streptophyta; Magnoliopsida; Zingiberales; Musaceae.